Molecule: non-coding RNA, 1154 nt
Organism: Meleagris gallopavo (turkey)
Lineage: Eukaryota; Metazoa; Chordata; Aves; Galliformes; Phasianidae
Source: RefSeq, a predicted model, not a curated record
ACACAUCCAUUAACAGGCUACUGCAUUGAACUAUUAAUCAUUUGUGAAAUUAAUUCUUUCUCUUCUUUUUCUUUAAAGGGCAGAUACAACUUCUAAAGAGAGAAAUGCUUCAGGAUAUACCUGUUGUCAUUAGGGUUCACAUACUUUUGAUACUUUUGAUAAAUACAUUGUCAGAUGGCUCACAGAUGGAUCUCUGUAUCCUGAAGUUCCCAGAAAAUGGAAUAAGGUGAAAGGAAACAAACAUUGUUUGAAUAAACUGUACUUGACAAUCUGUGAUGAACAGCAUUCAGAGGAGUAAAGGGCAUGUUUUGGCUCUGCUCUCCAUUGCAUGCUAAAUCUUCACAAGAACAAGUCUGGAAGAGGUCAUCUGAGUCCAGUCACCUGCUCACAUCUGCUAGCCAAACUGAAUCUGCUAGACCUAAACUUGAAUCUCAAUAAUGCCUCAUGCUACCAUCACAUCCCCUGAGCUACAGACCCGAACUAAGAAAAGGCGUAAUGAUCUUUUCAUACUUGUGAAACUACAAGAGCUAUCUGAACUGUAAAGCAGAUAUCUGCUCUACAUGAGCCCUGGCAGGGAGAUGUUUUGCUGCCAAUUUGCACUCUGCUUGGUUAGAACUUUGUAUUUCUCCUUCAGCAGGUUGGGAGAACAACCCCAUCCCAGCAACAGCACCAGCCAGUGGAAAGGAAACUUUGCAGUGGAAAAAUCAGAAGGGAAGCAUGGAACAGCUGGGUACAGACAGGGAGUGGAAAGACAGUUUUGCCUCUUCUGUGGUUGUUGGCAACUGAGAUGUACCCCAUGGCUGGGCAGUAAGGUAGGCACAUCCUUUGGGAUAUGUGGCACUGUUCAACAAGUUGCUUUGAAGAAUUAUGAAGCAGAGUUGAUAGAAUUUAGAAGCUCAUGUCUCAGUGAGAACUGACAAUAGUGUCUUGUCCUGAAUCUUUUAGAAAACUCUCUCCUUGGUUUUAUUAAAGUAGAAUUAAUCUCUUUGCAGGGGAUUGUUGCCAAUUCCGUAGGCACAUAUCAUCUACCUUCGGGGUUCUAAGGAGGAAUUGUUCAACAUUCACUGAAUCAUGAGGCAACCUAUAGCAUCUCUGUGUAUAAUCAAUGAAUAUGUGGAUGUUAUAAUUAAGAAAUAUACAAGAAAGUUAGGCUA